This 438-nucleotide ribosomal RNA is filed under the name uncultured bacterium. Its description in RNAcentral is "bacterial SSU rRNA". It matches the Rfam family "Bacterial small subunit ribosomal RNA", at positions 64 to 497 of the family's 1533-position model. The record is from RNAcentral.
GAGCGGAAGACAGGAGCUUGCUCCUGAAUUCAGCGGCGGACGGGUGAGUAAUGCCUAGGAAUCUGCCUGGUAGUGGGGGAUAACGUUUGGAAAGGAACGCUAAUACCGCAUACGUCCUACGGGAGAAAGCAGGGGACCUUCGGGCCUUGCGCUAUCAGAUGAGCCUAGGUCGGAUUAGCUAGUUGGUGAGGUAAUGGCUCACCAAGGCGACGAUCCGUAACUGGUCUGAGAGGAUGAUCAGUCACACUGGAACUGAGACACGGUCCAGACUCCUACGGGAGGCAGCAGUGGGGAAUAUUGGACAAUGGGCGAAAGCCUGAUCCAGCCAUGCCGCGUGUGUGAAGAAGGUCUUCGGAUUGUAAAGCACUUUAAGUUGGGAGGAAGGGCAUUAACCUAAUACGUUAGUGUUUUGACGUUACCGACAGAAUAAGCACCGGC